This 426-nucleotide ribosomal RNA is filed under the name uncultured bacterium. RNAcentral's name for it is "bacterial SSU rRNA". It matches the Rfam family "Bacterial small subunit ribosomal RNA", at positions 355 to 774 of the family's 1533-position model. The record is from RNAcentral.
UCGAGAAUCUUUCACAAUGGGGGCAACCCUGAUGGAGCGACGCCGCGUGGAGGAUAAGGUCUUCGGAUUGUAAACUCCUGUCAUGUGUGAACAAGGCUGCCGUGUUAAUAGCAUGGCAGAUUGAUGGUAGCACAAGAGGAAGAGACGGCUAACUCUGUGCCAGCAGCCGCGGUAAUACAGAGGUCUCAAGCGUUGUUCGGAAUCACUGGGCGUAAAGGGUGCGUAGGUGGCGUGGCAAGUCAGAUGUGAAAGCCCGGGGCUCAACCUCGGAAUUGCAUCCGAUACUGCCAUGCUAGAGUACUGAAGAGGUGACUAGAAUUCUCGGUGUAGCAGUGAAAUGCGUAGAUAUCGAGAGGAAUACCAACGGCGAAGGCAGGUCACUGGGCAGUUACUGACACUGAGGCACGAAGGCCAGGGGAGCAAACG